GAUGAACGCUGGCGGCGUGCCUAAUACAUGCAAGUCGAGCGAACAGACGAGGAGCUUGCUCCUCUGAUGUUAGCGGCGGACGGGUGAGUAACACGUGGAUAACCUACCUAUAAGACUGGGAUAACUUCGGGAAACCGGAGCUAAUACCGGAUAACAUGUUGAACCGCAUGGUUCAACAGUGAAAGACGGUCUUGCUGUCACUUAUAGAUGGAUCCGCGCCGCAUUAGCUAGUUGGUAAGGUAACGGCUUACCAAGGCAACGAUGCGUAGCCGACCUGAGAGGGUGAUAGGCCACACUGGAACUGAGACACGGUCCAGACUCCUACGGGAGGCAGCAGUAGGGAAUCUUCCGCAAAGGGCGAAAGCCUGACGGAGCAACGCCGCGUGAGUGAAGAAGGUCUUCGGAUCGUAAAACUCUGUUAUUAGGGAAGAACAAAUGUGUAAGUAACUAUGCACGUCUUGACGGUACCUAAUCAGAAAGCCACGGCUAACUACGUG
RNAcentral lists this ribosomal RNA (497 nucleotides) under uncultured bacterium. RNAcentral's name for it is "partial 16S ribosomal RNA". It matches the Rfam family "Bacterial small subunit ribosomal RNA", at positions 28 to 507 of the family's 1533-position model. The record is from RNAcentral.